RNAcentral lists this ribosomal RNA (465 nucleotides) under Vreelandella stevensii. RNAcentral's name for it is "partial 16S ribosomal RNA". It matches the Rfam family "Bacterial small subunit ribosomal RNA", at positions 338 to 795 of the family's 1533-position model. Lineage: Bacteria; Pseudomonadati; Pseudomonadota; Gammaproteobacteria; Oceanospirillales; Halomonadaceae. The record is from RNAcentral.
CCUACGGGUGGCUGCAGUGGGGAAUAUUGGACAAUGGGGGGAACCCUGAUCCAGCCAUGCCGUGUGUGUGAAGAAGGCCCUCGGGUUGUAAAGCACUUUCAGUGAGGAAGAACGCCUGGUGGUUAAUACCCAUCAGGAAAGACAUCACUCACAGAAGAAGCACCGGCUAACUCCGUGCCAGCAGCCGCGGUAAUACGGAGGGUGCGAGCGUUAAUCGGAAUUACUGGGCGUAAAGCGCGCGUAGGUGGCUUGAUAAGCCGGUUGUGAAAGCCCCGGGCUCAACCUGGGAACGGCAUCCGGAACUGUCAAGCUAGAGUGCAGGAGAGGAAGGUAGAAUUCCCGGUGUAGCGGUGAAAUGCGUAGAGAUCGGGAGGAAUACCAGUGGCGAAGGCGGCCUUCUGGACUGACACUGACACUGAGGUGCGAAAGCGUGGGUAGCAAACAGGAUUAGAUACCCUAGUAGUC